UACGGGGGGAGCAAGCGUUGUUCGGAUUUACUGGGCGUAAAGGGCGCGUAGGCGGCCACAACAAGUCACUUGUGAAAUCUCCGGGCUUAACCCGGUGGCGGCCAAGUGAUACUGUUGGGCUAGAGUGCGGAAGGGGCAACUGGAAUUCUCGGUGUAGCGGUGAAAUGCGUAGAUAUCGAGAGGAACACCUGCGGCGAAGGCGGGUUGCUGGGCCGACACUGACGCUGAAGUGCGAAAGCUAGGGGAGCGAACGGG
Molecule: ribosomal RNA, 255 nt
Filed under: uncultured bacterium
Lineage: Bacteria
Description: partial 16S ribosomal RNA
Rfam family: Bacterial small subunit ribosomal RNA
Source: RNAcentral